Molecule: ribosomal RNA, 465 nt
Filed under: Vreelandella stevensii
Lineage: Bacteria; Pseudomonadati; Pseudomonadota; Gammaproteobacteria; Oceanospirillales; Halomonadaceae
Description: partial 16S ribosomal RNA
Rfam family: Bacterial small subunit ribosomal RNA
Source: RNAcentral
CCUACGGGGGGCAGCAGUGGGGAAUAUUGGACAAUGGGCGAAAGCCUGAUCCAGCCAUGCCGCGUGUGUGAAGAAGGCCUUCGGGUUGUAAAGCACUUUCAGUGGGGAAGAAAGCCUUGGGGCUAAUACCCUCGAGGAAGGACAUCACCCACAGAAGCAGCACCGGCUAACUCCGUGCCAGCAGCCGCGGUAAUACGGAGGGUGCGAGCGUUAAUCGGAAUUACUGGGCGUAAAGCGCGCGUAGGCGGUCUGAUAAGCCGGUUGUGAAAGCCCCGGGCUCAACCUGGGAACGGCAUCCGGAACUGUCAGGCUAGAGUGCAGGAGAGGAAGGUAGAAUUCCCGGUGUAGCGGUGAAAGGCGUAGAGAUCGGGAGGAAUACCAGUGGCGAAGGCGGCCUUCUGGACUGACACUGACGCUGAGGUGCGAAAGCGUGGGUAGCAAACAGGAUUAGAUACCCCAGUAGUC